Molecule: ribosomal RNA, 288 nt
Filed under: Glomus sp. Att1192-27
Lineage: Eukaryota; Fungi; Glomeromycota; Glomeromycetes; Glomerales; Glomeraceae
Description: partial 18S ribosomal RNA
Rfam family: Eukaryotic small subunit ribosomal RNA
Source: RNAcentral
GGUAAUCUUGUGAAACUUCMUCSUGCUGGGGAUAGAGCAUUGCAACUAUUGCUCUUGAACGAGGAAUCCCUAGUAAGUACAAGUCACUAGCUUGUGCUGAUUACCUCCCUGCCCUUUGUACACACCGCCCGUCGCUACUACCGAUUGAAUGGCUUAGUGAGGCCUUCGGAUUGAAAUUCGGAGACUGGCAACAGACUCUUGGUUUUGAAAAGUUGGACAAACUUGGUCAUUUAGAGGAAGUAAAAGUCGUAACAAGGUUUCCGUAGGUGAACCUGCGGAAGGAUCAUU